This is an RNA transcript of Apis florea (little honeybee), 1781 nucleotides long. It is a transcript of the gene named defective in cullin neddylation 1 domain containing SCCRO, with no coding region annotated. The record is from RefSeq and is a predicted model, not a curated record. Lineage: Eukaryota; Metazoa; Arthropoda; Insecta; Hymenoptera; Apidae.
AUAAAAUAUGUAAAGAGAAUUGUCAAAAUCACAAUAAGAUCAAAGAAUCACAUGGAGACAGCAAUUUAAAAAACAAUAUCAAUAUUAAUAGUGCUAUUUUUUCAUUAAUGUUUAUUCAUUCUCUUUUUGACGUAUGUCCUUGUAACUUCGUGUAUGCAUUCAUUUGCGUGGGCCAAUAUUUACGAUAGCGUUUUGUUGUUAUUUCAUGAAGACUUCAUCCUUGACUUCUACCUAAUACAAAAAAGAAAGAUUUCGUACCGAUGCCACCCGACGUAAAACAGAAUCACGUGACAUUUUCGAUGUUUUUUUAUCUUAUUAUGUCGUAAAAUGUAGUAUUUAAUAAUUAAAUGUAAAUAUUUUAAAUAACCCGCGAUAUUGUUCUCGAAGUUGCUUUCCUUUGGCAACGUCUGGUGGCAUUGCUUAUAGUCUUGUUGGUGUAUUUGCAUUUCUCAGGACCUUCACAGAACAUGCGCAUGUUCAUGUCAAGUGUAGUGCAAAGGAAUAAUAUUUUGGCUUUCGGGGGCCUAAAAUUAGCUAAAAUGCAUAAGUUAAAGUUCUCACAAAGAGAUAAAGUAAAGAAAUUUAUUACAUUUACACAUACUGGAGAACAAACUGCAAUAUAUUGUUUAGCACAAAAUGAUUGGAAGCUAGACUUGGCAAGUGAUAAUUAUUUUCAAAAUCCUGAGGCAUAUUGUAAAGAACCAAAAAAUACAGUAGAUAAAAAGAAAUUAGAAAUAUUGUUUAGUCGAUAUCAAGAUCCAAAUGAGCCUGAUAAGAUUACAGCAGAUGGAAUAAUGAAAUUUUUGGAUGAUUUGGAUUUAAGCCCUGAAAGCAAAUUAGUAUUAAUAAUUGCAUGGAAAUUUAGAGCAGAAACACAAUGUGAAUUUACUAAAGAUGAAUUUAUGAAUGGAAUGACAGAUCUAGGUGUUGACAGUAUAGAUAAAUUAAAAGCUUGUUUAAGUAGUUUAGAAAAUGAAUUAAGAGAUCCUCAAAAAUUUAAAGACUUUUAUCAGUUUACAUUUAAUUAUGCAAAAAAUCCAGGACAAAAAGGUUUAGAUCUUGAUAUGGCUAUUGCUUAUUGGAACAUUGUAUUAGAUGAUAAAUUUAAGUUCCUGCCUUUAUGGUGCCAAUUUUUACAGGUACAUCACAGUAAGUAAUAAGAUUAUCGAAUGCACGUUCGACUUGUAAUAAUCCUGAACCUUGUGCAAAAGGAUCUAGAUUUUGUAUAUAAUGAGCUGUGUUUUCAAGAGCUCUUUUUAUACUAUAUGGAGAAUAAGAACAACCUUUAGCAACAAGCCCUGAUAUAAGUAUUGCUACAAUAUAAACAUUAUUAUUAACAUUUUUCUUAUUUGUAAUAUCUUAUAUAAUCUUUAUAAAAAAAAAUCAAUAUACCAAUAGCUCCAGUUACAUGAGGAGCUGCCAUGCUUGUACCAUUCAUGAGUUGACUUUUUCUUAAAGUAAAAUUGGGAACACUAGUUAUAGCUCCUCCUGGAGCACAUACAGUAAUUCCAGCUCCACCAUCGAUCAUUGGACCACGAGAUGACCACGUAUACGACAUACCAGGCAUUUUUUCUCUUAAAGAAUAUUCAGCUACCAUCAUAUCAGGAGAAACUUCCUGUUUCCAUUGUACCAAUACGACCAUCUCCAACACUUAAUGAAAUAAUUUGAGCACCAGGAGCUACACCAUUUAAUUCAGGAUUAUCAGGAAAAUAUGCAGCUGCAAUUGAAGCUACGUGUGUACCAUGACUUGCUGCAAUAAUAAAAUUUAUUAUAAAAAAGAA